UCGAGCGAGAAGCCCGCAAGGGUGAGUAAAGCGGCGCACGGGUGAGUAACACGUGGGUAAUCUUCCUUGGAGCCCGGAAUAACUCCCCGAAAGGGGUGCUAAUGCCGGAUGAGACCACGGGAUCUCCGGAUCCUGAGGGAAAAGGCGGCCUCUGUACACAAGCUGUCACUCCAAGAUGAGCCCGCGGCCCAUCAGCUAGUUGGCGGGGUAAUGGCCCACCAAGGCAUCGACGGGUAGCUGGUCUGAGAGGACGAUCAGCCACACUGGAACUGAGACACGGUCCAGACUCCUACGGGAGGCAGCAGUGGGGAAUUUUGCGCAAUGGGCGAAAGCCUGACGCAGCAACGCCGCGUGUGUGAUGAAGGUCUUCGGAUCGUAAAGCACUGUCGGGAGGGACGAAUAAGGCGGCGGCUAAUAUCCGCGGCCGAUGACGGUACCUCCAAAGGAAGCACCGGCUAACUCUGUGCCAGCAGCCGCGGUAAUACAGAGGGUGCAAGCGUUGUUCGGAAUUAUUGGGCGUAAAGCGCGUGUAGGCGGCCUUGCAAGUUGGGUGUGAAAGCCCUCGGCUUAACCGAGGAAGUGCGCCCAAAACUACAGGGCUUGAGUACCGGAGAGGGUGGCGGAAUUCCCGGUGUAGAGGUGAAAUUCGUAGAUAUCGGGAGGAACACCAGUGGCGAAGGCGGCCACCUGGACGGAUACUGACGCU
RNAcentral lists this ribosomal RNA (706 nucleotides) under uncultured bacterium. Its description in RNAcentral is "bacterial SSU rRNA". It matches the Rfam family "Bacterial small subunit ribosomal RNA", at positions 62 to 747 of the family's 1533-position model. The record is from RNAcentral.